Molecule: long non-coding RNA, 781 nt
Organism: Anopheles gambiae (African malaria mosquito)
Lineage: Eukaryota; Metazoa; Arthropoda; Insecta; Diptera; Culicidae
Exons: 3
Source: RefSeq, a predicted model, not a curated record
AGAGAGGCCGCGUGUUUUUUUGACAGAUAAACCACAUAGAUAGCGAAGAAAUCAAGUGAAUAAAAACGAGAAUAUAAAAACAGAAUCGCGCAUAUGUAAGAACGCUGUUGUACAGAUGGUGUGCAUCUGCAAGCGGUAUCUUUUUUUCGGCACCAAGCGAACAAUAUGCAGACGACGCACAGCGACGGGUAUUCAACGUAAUCGUUCGGUAGAGCUUGAGACUCUUAAUCUCAGGGUCGUGGGUUCGGGCCCCACGUUGGGCGCCAAAUGUUGCCUCGAGCAACAGAAUUUGUUCAACUCGAAAAAGUCCACGAAUAGUAAACGUAAAAGUUCUUUUAACACUUUAUUCAACGUUAUUACAAAUUCUUAUGUUACAAAGGCCAGAUCAAUUAAAAAAACGGUUUUAUUUAUUUCAUUAUUGUUAUAAAAUUUUUUAUAUUUGUUCAUUAUAUUAGUUAUAACAUUAUUGAACCUCAAUUUAUACCCCCUCAAAGUAAUUAAACAUCUUCCUUAUUCCAUUCAUAUAUAACAGGAAGGAUUUAUAACUCUCGUGUGUGUCACGUUAUCACUCGGUAUUUAUUGCGUCUUAUCACUAUAACUGUCAGCGAUGCUUUGCUUUGUUCCCUAAUUCUAUAUCCGGUUGCCAACGCAGUUGGCAUAACUCGAUUCAGUGGAAGGUUGGGGUGCACAGCGACAGGUGGCGUACCUGCUAUAAUUUGUUACCUGCUAGGCGAAGAUCGCUAGAACUGGUCUAACGCGAAUCGAACGGUUAGAACUGGUC